UACGGAGGAUCCAAGCGUUAUCCGGAAUCAUUGGGUUUAAAGGGUCCGUAGGCGGUUUAGUAAGUCAGUGGUGAAAGCCCAUCGCUCAACGGUGGAACGGCCAUUGAUACUGCUGAGCUUGAGUGCGAGAGAGGUUAAUAGAAUACCUGGUGUAGUGGUGAAAUACGUAGAUAUCAGGUGGAACACCGGAGGCGAAGGCGGUUAACUGGCUCGACACUGACACUGAGACCCGAAAGUGCGGGGAUCAAACAGG
Molecule: ribosomal RNA, 253 nt
Filed under: uncultured prokaryote
Description: partial 16S ribosomal RNA
Rfam family: Bacterial small subunit ribosomal RNA
Source: RNAcentral